This 483-nucleotide ribosomal RNA is filed under the name uncultured bacterium. RNAcentral describes it as "bacterial SSU rRNA". It matches the Rfam family "Bacterial small subunit ribosomal RNA", at positions 28 to 526 of the family's 1533-position model. The record is from RNAcentral.
GACGAACGCUGGCGGCGUGCUUAACACAUGCAAGUCGAACGGUAAGGCCCCUUCGGGGGUACACGAGUGGCGAACGGGUGAGUAACACGUGAGCAACCUACCCUUGACUCUGGAAUAACAGCUGGAAACAGCUGCUAAUACCGGAUACGACCUCAAGCGUCAUCGCUUUUGGUGGAAAGCUCCGGCGGUCAAGGAUGGGCUCGCGGCCUAUCAGCUAGUUGGUGAGGUAACGGCUCACCAAGGCUUCGACGGGUAGCCGGCCUGAGAGGGCGACCGGCCACACUGGGACUGAGAUACGGCCCAGACUCCUACGGGAGGCAGCAGUGGGGAAUAUUGCACAAUGGGCGCAAGCCUGAUGCAGCAACGCCGCGUGUGGGAUGACGGCCUUCGGGUUGUAAACCACUUUCAGCGCCGACGAAGCGAAAGUGACGGUAGGCGCAGAAGAAGCACCGGCCAACUACGUGCCAGCAGCCGCCGUAACAC